RNAcentral lists this transfer RNA (60 nucleotides) under Hypsauchenia hardwickii. Its description in RNAcentral is "tRNA-Ala". Lineage: Eukaryota; Metazoa; Arthropoda; Insecta; Hemiptera; Membracidae. The record is from RNAcentral.
GAAGUUAUAGUUAAUUAUAACAUUUAAUUUGCAAUUAAAAGGUCCAAUUAGGUUUCUUUA